Molecule: non-coding RNA, 24 nt
Filed under: Cricetulus griseus (Chinese hamster)
Lineage: Eukaryota; Metazoa; Chordata; Mammalia; Rodentia; Cricetidae
Source: RNAcentral
GAAGGAAGGAAGGAAGGAAGGAAU